CCAGGUCUUUGAAGGGAAGGAGGUGAUUGAUCCCUUCAUAGAUAAACUGGUAGGUUGAUCAUAGGUUAAUUUUCCUUCCUGAAGUGAGAGGAAGAGGUAAGAGGGGAAGGUGUAAACUGCAGGGGCAAAGGAGGAAAGAAGAGGUGGUGGCAACACAAUUUUGGAAAUAAAGUGGGCUGUGCUCAUUCGCUUAACAAAUGUGAGGAGACAGGAACUCAAGCUGAAAGGAAGCAAGAGGAGAAACAAAUGGAUUCCCCUUUUGGAAAGGGUUGGGAACCCAAGGUACCAGGUUUUGCAAGUGAGGACUGUGGACACUUCAGCCUGGGGGAGGGAUAUUGCCACACCUGAACAGAUCAUCCUCUUGGAGCUGAGAUUGCCAGUUCUCAUUCCCAUCUACCCCUGAUAGGUCUGCAGCUUGAAGCAUCUCCUUAAACUCUGUCAGAGUCCUCAUCAGUAGAAUGGGCACAACCCCUAAGUCCUAGAGAUAGGAGUCCCGAUGAGAGGAAUCCUGAAAUCAGACACAAAAACCUAAGUAGCAUGGAGCUCUAGAUAAGGGAGAGGGGAAACUGAGCCCCCUUCCAGCUCUGAAGGCUUCUCGUUCAGUAACCUUCUCCCUGAGUGUGAUUGACUGUACCUUGGCAGGGUACAGUCAGGGUACCUAGCAAUGUGGUGGUGGCUUAUUUCGCUGCCAUUAAGAGUGUUCAUUCAACACCUAUUCCAUGGUGCCUUGGAGGGAGCAACUGAUGUUAACAAAUGAAUUAUUCUCAGGCCCUGUUGUCAAAGAACUCACUGUCUAACUGUGUAAAGAGGGAGGCCAAUUAAGGGAAAUCAAGUAAAUAGCAAGGCUUUAUUUUAUUUAUUUAUUUAUUUAUGGUACUGGGGAUUGAACCCAAG
This 894-nucleotide long non-coding RNA is filed under the name Marmota monax (woodchuck). Lineage: Eukaryota; Metazoa; Chordata; Mammalia; Rodentia; Sciuridae. The record is from RNAcentral.